GGGGCUAUAGCUCAGCUGGGAGAGCGCUUCAUUCGCAUUGAAGAGGUCAGCGGUUCGAUCCCGCUUAGCUCCACCA
RNAcentral lists this transfer RNA (76 nucleotides) under Capsulimonas corticalis. RNAcentral describes it as "tRNA-Ala". It matches the Rfam family "tRNA". From Rfam's summary of the family: Transfer RNA (tRNA) molecules are approximately 80 nucleotides in length. Their secondary structure includes four short double-helical elements and three loops (D, anti-codon, and T loops). Lineage: Bacteria; Bacillati; Armatimonadota; Armatimonadia; Capsulimonadales; Capsulimonadaceae. RNAcentral also lists the same sequence under 1 other name. The record is from RNAcentral.